This 373-nucleotide ribosomal RNA is filed under the name uncultured bacterium. RNAcentral describes it as "bacterial SSU rRNA". It matches the Rfam family "Bacterial small subunit ribosomal RNA", at positions 521 to 896 of the family's 1533-position model. The record is from RNAcentral.
UAAGACGAAGGAUGCAAGCGUUAUCCGGAUUCAUUGGGUUUAAAGGGAGCGUAGGCGGUCCUGUAAGUCAGUGGUGAAAUCUCUCGGCUUAACCGAGAAAUUGCCAUUGAUACUGCAGAACUUGAGUACAGUUGCCGUUGGCGGAAUAUGACAUGUAGUGGUGAAAUACAUAGAGAUGUCAUAGAACACCGAUUGCGAAGGCAGCUAACGAAACUGUAACUGACGCUGAGGCUCGAAAGUGCGGGGAUCAAACAGGAUUAGAUACCCUGGUAGUCCGCACUGUAAACGAUGAUUACUCGCUGCUGGGAGGUAACUUUCAGUGGCUUAGCGAAAGCGAUAAGUAAUCCACCUGGGGAGUACGCCGGCAACGGUG